This 301-nucleotide long non-coding RNA is filed under the name Mytilus galloprovincialis (Mediterranean mussel). Lineage: Eukaryota; Metazoa; Mollusca; Bivalvia; Mytilida; Mytilidae. The record is from RNAcentral.
GUAGAUUAAAAAUUACACCACUCCGGGCCCUUUUUGUUUCCACGUAAUUAAUAUUGCCAAUAAUUAGGAAGUUCCAGGUCGAGUCCGAUACUGAUACCAAUAGUAUAUUCACCUGUUACCUAUUACCUUAUCUGUGCGUUCAACAUCUGACAGGUGCACCACCAAACGGUGUAUUCAUGAUUAAUAUGCUAAAUACACGGGUCAUAAUCACAGGGUUGACACUACUUAAUUGUCAAAUUGUUACCUAUUGUAGUAUUUUAAUCAGUAAGACUUUCUAAGAUAACAAAUCUGGACUAAAAAU